UAACAUGAGGUACAUAAACUAC
This 22-nucleotide non-coding RNA is filed under the name Arabidopsis thaliana (thale cress). Lineage: Eukaryota; Viridiplantae; Streptophyta; Magnoliopsida; Brassicales; Brassicaceae. The record is from RNAcentral.